Molecule: RNA transcript, 9083 nt
Organism: Vespa mandarinia (Asian giant hornet)
Lineage: Eukaryota; Metazoa; Arthropoda; Insecta; Hymenoptera; Vespidae
Gene: wake
Gene name: ankyrin repeat and fibronectin type III domain containing protein wide awake
Source: RefSeq, a predicted model, not a curated record
CCACAGACGACGCCACAACGUUCGCGCGAGUCAGUUCGACGACGUACAUUCGCAGACGUUCAUUGUUCACUCGCGAAAAUAAUCAGAAGAGUACUCUUAAUUUUUCUAAACUAUCGAAUAAAUAUUUUGUUAUGAAAAUCUAGAAAUAAAAAAGAAGAAGAAAAAAAAGAAAGAAAGCAAAAAAUAAAAGGAAAAGGAUAGAGCUUGAGAAUUGUGAAAAAAAUACGUGGAGAAAUUGAGUUACGAAGAAUUUUUCAAAGGUCUUGAAGGAUUUUAACGGACUUUCAUCGUUCGAAACGACGACGAUGGAUGAAGGUUUUCAGAAGCGAAGACGGAAGGUGGAAAAGGUCGACGAGUUCUUGACGAGCUUAGAGAAAAAAGAAUAUUGCGAGGAGGACGUGAGAGUGACAAGUUAAGGUUCGAACGAAGGUGACGCUCUUGCGUCCUGUGAAUCCUGUGACUUCUUCCAACUGACUCGGUCGGUAAAGUCAUUUCCUUUGAAUUCCGUGCGUGCUACCGCAACGGAAAAUGUGAGAUUCUACGUGAAUUUGAAUAAAUUCACGGAUGAUUACUCAUUUUAUUGCGAUAACAAAAACUUAAAUAUUUUCUGUGAUAAAAGAAUAAGCUAUAUCAAGCCAAAGAAUAUCGUCCUGCGUUCGCCGUUUUCUCAAACAAAAAGUCACUAAAGAAAAAAAAAGGAGAAUCAUUUCGUAUUUAAGAAAAAUAAAAACACCUUUCUUUUUUAUCAUAUCGAUCCUAAAAAAAAAAAAAAAAAGAAAAAUCGAUAUUUCGACUGAAGAGAAAAAUUCCAGAUGAAAUUUCGAAAAGCUGCAUCAACGUCCAGUCCAAAAAUGGAAUUAUUAUCAAGACGAUCGACAACGAACGACGGCAGAAUGUCGACGUUGAAAAGAUCGAGAUCGUUUCGUGCUUCGGUAAAAUUGAUAUCGAAAAUCCGAAAUCGUGCGGCGUUCAGGCUUGCCUCGGGUUUUGAAAUAUCGCCUAUGUCCUCGAAGGAUCAAUAUAAAACGACACGUAUAUCCUCAAAGGAUCCCGAAAAAGUGAAACAGCAACAGGAAUUGCCUAGGACAUUUGUGAAUUCGAGGAAGAAUGAGAAAGAGAAGCCGAUCGAUAAGAGAGAUGAAAGAAAAAAGAACGAAGAUAUACCUCAGGAAGAUCUGCGAAUGUUGUUAGAAACGAAUUCGUCGAUCGACGUCGUCGAGUCUCGCGAGAUUACGAAGGAUUUUGAGAAGAAGCUUUCUCUUGAUGACAGAAUAAGCAUGAAAAACCGAAAAGAUCUUGAAAGAUCUUGGGAGGGUAAAAUAGAGGACGAAACUAAGUCGCCGAAAGUCGUACGUAUUUUUCGUCGAAAAAUUAUGACCGACGAAAGUUCGAAAAAGAAAAACGACCAAGCUGUGAAAGCUAAGGGAAAGCUAGAAAAGAACGAACACGGUUACGAGAAUCCUACGUUCUCUUUGGACAGUUCCCUUGACUCGAGUUUUGCUUCUGUUGAAAUCAACGUAAAAAAUGAGGAACAAAUAACAUGUGAGGAACAAUAUGAAUGUGUAGUCGAAAAAACUAAUCUCGACGAGCAAAAACUCUUAAAAUCAUUACUUUCUAACAAAUCUGAUCUCAAGUACAUUAGAAGUUUCAGUAUGAGAGAAGAUAGAAGUUUCGUGAGAGAUAAAAGUCCAGGAUAUGAAAGAAACAAUCGACCAAAGACGAAUUUUUAUUCCGAGACCGAAAUCGAUGCCUCGUCAAGAUCGAAAGAAAAAUAUCAUCGUGAUCUUCGAUUAUGCAUCGAAAAUACGGACAGUCUUUGCCCUUCCAAAUCUUGCAGAAACAAGACUGUCGAUAAUUUAACUAACUUUUGGACGAAUGCUCGUGGUGGAAGCUUUCGUAGCAAAAUGUCCGCCAGUAAAAAGAAACUAGGAAAGGAGUCAAAGGAUCUAGAAUCAAUCGGACAGGAUCGAGUUCUCGUCACGACCACUUCCGGAUCAAAACUGCAAUCGCUACAAGGUAUGGAGUUCCUGGAAGGUUUUGGAAAAAAGAAGCAACAGCCACAGCAGCAUUCGAAUAAUUUGUCGUCGAUCCAUAUUAAUCCUCUCUCAGCACAAUCCCUCAACAUACAUUUGCAUGCUCUUUUUGCAGCCGUCGAACAUGGUCAUUUGGACAAAGCCAGAACAAUUUUGGAGUCGACCGACGUGGACGUAAACAGUGUAAAUAGCGACGGUUUAUCGCCAUUGGACGUCGCAGUGCUCAGCAACAACAGACCACUGGCGAAGAUGUUGGUCACGUUCGGCGCUCAGGAAGGCAACCAAUUCAAGUCACCGGAGUCCUUGGGCAGUCAUUUGGCGUCGUUACUGUCGGAAGCAGAACAUAGAGUCCAAGAACUCGGUGGCAGCACUUCCGGCAGCGGUGGUAGCACUCUUUUGGAACCACCGAGCAGCCACAGAGCCAGUUUCUCGACGCAGCAUAAUAAUCUUACGGGAUGCGGAGGCAGCACCGAAGACAAACAACUAGCUCUCUGGGAGAGGAGAGCUCGAGCAUUGAGAAAGAUGUUGUUAGGUUUCGAUCAAGCAAGACCACCAGACAUGCCUUUCAUGGUCACAGUCGAUGUUACCGGAACGACCUCCGUGACAGUCAAAUUUCAAGAACCAGAUUCACAUGACUCUCCAAUUUGUACGAAAUUCAAAGUUCAGUGGAGUCUUAAGGAGGAUUUUUCUACUAUAUGUGGUGAAAGAGAGGUUCUCGAUAUGAAACAAAGAGAAUGCCGUAUCGACGGACUCAUUCAAGGACAAAAAUAUUAUUUCCGUGCGGCUGCGGGAAAUUUAAAAGGCUACAGCAGAUUUAGGAAUUCGGUUCCUGCUCAUGUCACUCCUAGUAGUUGGAGAGACGUUGACGGCAGGAUACCAAGAUUUGCUGGACGUUUAGAACAAUUGAACACUCUCUUUACCGAUAUAAGACGUCCGGAAUAUACGCACGAGACACCAGCAGUUCAAAGACGCAAUCAUAAAAAGAAAACGACGAUAAAGCAACUCUUUACCGCAACAAGCAAGUUUCAGAAGAAUCUGCGGCGUGGCGUGUUUCUUGCUUGUUUGCUUUAUCAUGAGGAUAAGGUUCUCGUCACCAAUGAAGACUUUUUACCUGUGAUCGAGGUCGAUGAAACCUAUCCUAGUUCUAUUUAUAACGAUUUUCACUGGUUAAUGAAAGUUGCAUGCACGUGGGACGACGUAAAGACUCUCCGGCAAGAUAUGGAGAAAAGUCACAGCAGUUCAACUAAUCACUUUAGGAUAAAAUUGCUCCAGGCUGCUGCACAAAUGCAGGCUGCACUAUGUAUACAAGAUCUUGGCCAGUUAUACCAUAAACCGAUAAGAGACAUUCAAGGAACCCUUGUAUUUGCAACCGUGAACUACGUUAAAUCACCAAAACUCGUAUCAGUCUUAAAUAGUAGAUGGCUUCCUUUGAGUAAAGUCACUAAAAAAAUUAUAAUUCACGAAGAUAGCAACGUGGCGGAUAUUUUGAUGGCCAGUAUACAAGAACAAAUGACAUAUCACCAAGUCAGUAGUAUCAAAUUAUCAAGGGGUUUAUACCUUGGUUACUUAAAAAUGCAAAGUAGUGUGGAUCUUAUACAACUGGUUGUACCAGCAAAGUCACCUAAUGUUUUGCCACAUUGUAAAAUACGUGACAACCCUCAUGUAUCCGCGGAGGAAUGGGAUUAUCUAAAGAGGAUAACUCGUAUUUAUGCCUCCGACAGUUCUGUCAAAGAUUCAGAGGAGAAAGAGAAUGUAACGAACGAAUGUCAGGGUACAGAACAACAGAAAUUAUUCGUCGAUUUGGUCUCCGCAACGUCACGUCGUCUUUUUAAUUAUAUGGAAAUUAAUCCAGAGGAUUCUUUAGUACAUCGACUUUAUGAUGCUGAAGUUAUAGAUCUCACGCACGAUGUGUCAUUUCUUAUUACCGUACCUCCUGCAGAAACAGCGUGUUGUGUACCCGGAACAAGAGAAAUUCUUUUACAACGAGGAGAUUUACUUUCCUUGCCUAUUCAAGUAUUCGAAAUGGUUCACUUAAAUACAUACCAAAAGGACGUGAUUAAUCGAUAUUCAAGGCUAAGUUGUAUAUUGGAAUUAGACACCGCACAAGCUCAGCAUAAUCAUAGAGAAGCUUUUAGCUCUUUAGAACUAAGCGUAGCAAAAGAUAAACUUGCGAGGUUACAAGAUCUACAAUCUCAGGUAAACACAGUAUGGAAGGGUGCUAGAUGGCUUAUCGACGUCAUCACUUUUGCAAGAGACCGUGGAUCUGGACAACAAAGCGGUACAUCACAAACUGUUGGCAUAUCUAUGAAACAUCUAUUAGGUCUAGACAGAAAUAAAAGUAACAGCAACAGUUUAAAAAGAAGUCUUCUUCAGUUACCACCUCGGGAUCCUAAACUUGUCAAAUCGAGUCCAGGACGUGGAAGUUGGCCAGGUCCAAAUGUUACAAAUUCCUCUUCCAAUUUGCUUACAACCGAAUUUAGCAAAAGCGAGCAACAAUUACCUAGUGCUCAAUACGUACGGAAGAGCAGUAACGUUUCAACAAAUUCAGAACCUCAAAAAUCGUCCGUUACUAUAAGUAGUGCUAGUAAUUUGACCAAUACCAAGAACGUUAGCAGUAACAACCAUUUAGUACCUAUGCAGAAUGUACGGCUUCCACCUUCGAAAUCUGAGGACACCCUUUUACUUACUAAGUACAAACACAGUCCUAGAAAUCGUUCGGCCACCAUCACUUCUGCAUCGGCAAGUACCAGUCCAUUACUUAAUAUAAAACCGAUUAUCUAUGGUGGAUCGCUUUUAAGCGUAUCAACGGCUAUGACCAACACCAAUACGAGUCUCCUCAGUGUUAGUAACACAAAUUCCGACAGUCUUCAUUCUCUAAGUAGCGACGAAUAUUCAACUCCAAAUUCGAGUAUUUGCUUAAAACCAGGACAUAUAAAAGUCAAAACGACAAAAUCAACGGCUAGUUUAGCAAACAUGGCUACUUCAGUAGUGGAUAAUCAAUCGGAAGAAGAAAAAGACGAAGCAACGAUGAUGCCAGCACCUCUACCUGGUAUUCUUCAGGGGACACAAGUUUAACCUGAUUAUAGUUAAAAACAUCUCACUUGGUCUUCUAGUGCAAACCAAUUUAGCAGAUACAUAAGUUUAUGCGGCCUAUGAAACUGGUUUGGCCUCUGGUACCAGUUUAAAAUUACAUGUAACACCACGAACCACAGCAAGAGAAGUUGUAGAUCUUGUUGUCAAGCAAUUAAAUAUGGCUGUAGUCUUAAAGGGUCAAGAUGGGCCUAUCUACACAGUCGAUGAAUUACCAAAUUUUUGCCUAGUUGCUGUAAUUGGUGCGAGGGAACGUUGUUUAAGGGAUGAUUUUAAACCCCUCCAACUACAAAAUCCGUGGAAAAAGGGGCGUUUGUAUGUUAGACAAAAACAAGAUGUUCUUGCUGCUCUCGAACACAGUAGCAAGCAUACAGCCUAUUUAUAGCAAAAAUAUGAUAAAACAUCUUAAAAUUAUAAUUUGUGAUCUGUAGUUUUCAAAAUAUGGCAUAGUGAUAACUAUUAAUAAGUUUGAGAAUGUAAAAUCACAUUGGGUAUCGAAUGAAAAUUGUCAUACGAUAAAUCGAAAAUUUUAUUUUAUAGGACUUGAUGUUUCUAAAAAUUGGUCUUUAUAUUAAAAAUAUAAUUUAUUACACGUAUAAAAAAAUCGGGAGAAAUCGUUUUCCUCAUUUCAUGUAAAGUCAACUAGCUUUACUUAGAUUAUAAAGUGAUAUUUGACGUGAAAAAACGUCGUAGGUCAUAUUCUAUAAUCUACAUAAUAUAAAAGGUUUCUCGUCGUAAAUAAUUGCACUAGAUGAUCGGUGAACUCGAAUAAUUUUCUGUAUCUAGAACUGUACAUUCCAAGUUUUAAUGCCGCGAUCAAAUGCGAUCUGUAAUAUUCCGCGAAUAUUAAUUAGUUUGUAAAAAAAAAAAAUUAAUACACAAGAUAUAUUAUACAUUAUUAUUAUAUUUUAGGUACCGAUCUCAAUGUUUUGUCCGAUAUGCGCGUCAUUAUCAGUGUGUCAAAUGUUUCAGAGAUGUCGUCGUUCCUGAACUCUUAAUGAUAACUUUUGUGUCCGUAUAAAUAAAUAAUCGUAUGUAACUUUGAUAAAUUUCAACUUAACGUUUGUAAAAAUUAAUUAAAUAUAGCAUAAAAAAAUAGUUACGAUGCUUAACUGCAUUUUUAAUAGCUAUUUAUUAAUCAUAUAUCAAAAAUGAAAUAUAACAUAUUAAGAGUAUUAAUUUCUUUUUAAUAUGCUUUAUAAUAUUUUUUUAUUUAAAGGCUUUCAAAAUGAUAAUACAAAAAGUUCCUAAGGUUCCCCAAUAUUAUUGAAAAGAAAUUAAAUUAUUAUUGUACUAAAUUCGUUGCUAGGAACGAUAGAAAUAUCUCUGCUAAGAAGUAAAAUCAACAUCGGUGCUCAUUUAAAAGAUGAUUUGAUUUUAUGAAGGAUGACAAAGAUUGAAUGAAAGUUGUUUGCAAUUGAUAGUGCGUUUGUGACAAAGAGGCUUAUAGACUGUGCUGUAAAAUAGAAACAAAUAUUAUUAUUUUUAUUUCGAAUGCUAUUACAUGGGAAGAGAGUGUGCGUCAGUGAACAUAAGUAUAAAACUUCAUUUUUUUUAUAUUUGAAGUAUACUUAAUUUUAAACAAAUUAUAUCCAAAGUUCUCACUCUAUUGCUGUUAAUCAUCAGAAUUUUUUGAUGAUAUUAAAUAAGAAAUUCAUUCUAAUAAUAAAAUUGAGAAAUUCACGAUAUUGUCAGUGCAUUUUUCAAUCAAUAUUUAAAACACGAAUAUGAAAUUUUAAUAAUUAAUAAAAACUUAAUAUAUUGUGUCAACACAUUGUAUCUAUAUCAGAGAUGAGAAUUCUUAUGUAUCCUAAUUAUAAGCAGCAACUAUUUUAAAUUGCAUCCCAAGUAAAUAGCACAGUACAAUUAUUUUUCAUCGCCUAUACCAAAAUUUAAAUUAUACCUUCUUGAUUAUAUUUUCACGUAAUAAAAUUGAUGUAUUUUAUACUUUUGAUGCUGAUAUAGAUUCUCUCACUUCUGAUUUAUAAACCAUAUAAAGUGAUACUCUGAUAACACAAUAUGACUGCACAAUAUUUAAGAAGUUUAAAAAGAAUUUUAGGAUACCUUCCUACAUAAACUAAUAAUCAAGAUUCAAUAUUUUGUAAACAUUAUAUAAUUUUUAAUUUCAUUUUAUGCUAUAACGUAACAUAUUCUUUUAAGAUUUUAAUCCAUAUAUAUAUUUCAAAAAGGAAUAUUAAAUAUUAAAUAUUAAAUAUUAAAUAUUAAAUAUUAAAUAUUAAAUAUUAAUAAGAUCCGUCCUUCGCUUACUGCACAUUAUAUUUACUUAGAAAGUAUCAUUCAGAAUAAAUAAAUAUUUCAUAUUUAUUGUGCAGUAUAUAUUGUACACAGAGGGGCCACUUACGUUUAACAAAAAUCUAUGAUGCACAUAUUUUUUUAUUGGAAAAAUUGACAUUCUUACUAUAUAGCUUAAGAAUGCUUUACAAAGAUGAAACAGCGAGUAAUUGAGACAGGAUGAUGCAAAAUUUUAUUAGCUCUGAAUGUUUAUUGAUGUUAAAUGUAAAAUAAGUAUUAAUUAGAUAGAUGUUAUUAUACAGAAAAGAGAAAAGAGAAAAAGGAAAGAUAAAAACAAGUAAGCAACAAAGGAAAGAAAGAGAGGAAAACCAAAAAAAUAUGUUAUGUUCAAAUAAGUUAUAGAAAUAAAGGUUUUCCUUUAUUAUAAGGAAAUAGAAUUAAAAUAGAGAAAAAGUAAUUCAAGAUAUUAGAAUUUGUAAAUACAUUAGAGUAUAGAAAGACGAUGACGAUAAGACACGCAAACUAACGAGAUUAUUUUAUCUGAAAGCGUAUAUUUAUCAUGAUGUAUCUAUAUAAUUGCGCCUACUAAAAAAGCGAAGAUGAAAGGUACAUAUAAAAUAAUAAUCGAAAAAUACAAUGAUCGCCGUUUCCUUCGCACCAAGAAAGACGAAAAAAAGAAAAAAGAGAAAAACAGAAAAUUAUAAGAUUAAAGAAAGUUGAAAAAGCGUGUAUACAAGUAUACAAAUAAUUGUGGUGAAAUAUUAAGGAAAUAACAAAUUUGAUGUUUGUAUAGGAAAAAAAUUUUUCGUUCAGUCGUAACUAAAUUUUCCUUUCGCCCCUUCUUUUUUCUUUCUUUUUUCUCAUUUCCCUUCAUUCAGUCUCGACGGAAUCCUGUAUAAGAUGAAAAAAUGCACGUAAAAAAGAAGAAAAAAAAAAGAAAAAAAAAUGAAAAAUAGAAUAAAAUGUAUCAUUGUAUUUGAGUCAUAUCGUCUUUCACGCGGUCACGUCGGUACUUUUCUCUUUUAUUUUUCAUUUAUUAUAAUCUUCUCUCUUUACCCAGUAAUUUUCCCCGACACAAGCAGAACCUGCCCGCCCUGUUGGCUAAACGAGAAACGAACCCGGACUUCCCACGACCGAGAGUCCUGCUGACCCACUUCAAACCUUGUUUCUCGUCUCAUCUCGUCUCUCGUACCACCUACUCCUUAUUUAUUCCCGACUCAGAGCGUAAUUAUGCGCUCUUUUUCUUAUCUUGGAUUUGCCGAGAAAAGGGGCAAUCGUCUCGAAUUUAACGGUAAAGAAUUUCUUCGAAUUCUUUUCUUCUUCUUCUUCUUUCUAAUCAAAAAAAAAAAAAAAAAAAAAAAAGGGAAAAAAAAAAGAAAGAAAAACAUAUGAGCUCCAUUCGUAGAAUCGUCGUAUACAAGAAAUUAUUUUUAAUUCGUAUUAUUAACUUUUCAAAGAACUAUCGCGACGGCAUUUCGCUGGAGAACGUGAUGCAGUUACAAAAAAAAAUAUUAUAAAAGAUUAGAUAUAGACGCAUAAAAACAUGGUAUUAUCGUGAUUGUUAAAAUAAAAAAAAAAAAAUCAAGAACUUUUUAAAAACAAACAUUUGAAAUAAUCUUCAUGAAAAUGAAUUGCUCGAAGCACGAGUUACGAAAUAGUUGGUUGUUCUUGUUUUCUCGUGUCAUUGAUACAUCUCGUAUUUAAAAA